GACGAACGCGGGCGGCGUGCCUAAUACAUGCAAGUGGAACGCAUUGGUAACACCGGACUUGCUCCAGUGUUACUAAUGAGUCGCGAACGGGUGAGUAACGCGUAGGUAACCUGCCUGAUAGCGGGGGAUAACUAUUGGAAACGAUAGCUAAUACCGCAUAAGAGGAGUUAACUCAUGUUAACUGUUUAAAAGAAGCAAUGGCUUCACUAUCAGAUGGACCUGCGUUGUAUUAGCUAGUAGGUAGGGUAACGGCCUACCUAGGCACCGAUACAUAGCCGACCUGAGAGGGUGAACGGCCACACUGGGACUGAGACACGGCCCAGACUCCUACGGGAGGCAGCAGUAGGGAAUCUUCGGCAAUGGACGCAAGUCUGACCGAGCAACGCCGCGUGAGUGAAGACGGUUUUCGGAUCGUAAAGCUCUGUUGUAGGGGAAGAACGUGUGUAAGAGUGGAAAGCUUACACAGUGAC
This 470-nucleotide ribosomal RNA is filed under the name Streptococcus sobrinus. Its description in RNAcentral is "bacterial SSU rRNA". It matches the Rfam family "Bacterial small subunit ribosomal RNA", at positions 28 to 473 of the family's 1533-position model. Lineage: Bacteria; Bacillati; Bacillota; Bacilli; Lactobacillales; Streptococcaceae. The record is from RNAcentral.